Molecule: long non-coding RNA, 167 nt
Organism: Periophthalmus magnuspinnatus
Lineage: Eukaryota; Metazoa; Chordata; Actinopteri; Gobiiformes; Gobiidae
Exons: 3
Source: RefSeq, a predicted model, not a curated record
CCAGGACUGAACCAGGACUAAACCAGGACUAAACCAAGGCUAGACCAGGACUAAACCAGGACUAAACCAAGUCUAAACCAGGACUAAACCAGAAGUAAAACCAGGACUAAAUCAGGACGAAACCAGGAUUAAAACCAAGACUAAAACCAGGACUAAACCAGGACUAA